Molecule: long non-coding RNA, 378 nt
Filed under: Lathyrus oleraceus (garden pea)
Lineage: Eukaryota; Viridiplantae; Streptophyta; Magnoliopsida; Fabales; Fabaceae
Description: Pisum sativum (pea) long non-coding RNA (PSAT_LNC041349)
Source: RNAcentral
ACGAAGAUGAUGUUGAAGGGAUUCCUGACGAGAUUUCCCGACUUCUUGAGCAAGAGAAGAAGAUCACUCAGCUGCAUCUCGAGAAUCAGCAGAACAGCCAACUGGGGCAUUAUCAAAAACAAAAAAAGGAAGAAAAAAAGAGAAAAAAGAGAAAGAGGAGGGUGCAAAAUCAAAAAAAGAAAUCAAUCAAAAUCAAAAGAAAUCAAAAGAAAGAAAAAGAAAGGAAAAAAAAAACAAAAAAAAUAGCACCCUCAAAGUCCCAAGUUGGCUGAUGCUGAAUUCGGUCAAAAAGAAGAGAUCAACUGCCAUGUGUCAUGGUCAGUCAUAUCAGCAGAGAGUGAAAAAGCAUUCGACAAGAAGAUCAAGCCUCGUGUGUUC